ACAUUUGUAGCCAAUAUCUGAGCCGAAGUCAACAGCUGCGAAUGCGGAUCAAGCUUACAUAUAAUCACAAGGGCUCAGCAAUGCAAGAUCUAGCAGAGGUGAACAACUUUCCCCCUCAGUCCUGGCAAUGAGGGUUUGGCACCAUUCUCAUUCUUUAUCCCACUCAAUCAAAGGAACUCUGGGAAGGAGGUUGUGAUUGCUGGCAAGUCCCCCCCAACUGUACCACGGGCAUGAGGAGCUGAAGAGAACUGCUGAGGAGGAUUUUCCUAAAGUUACUGCUGACCUUGAAGCAUUGUUAAAGACUAAUGUCCUCUCCUCCACUGUUGAGGCUGGCUGCUUCUGGAGGCUACUUUGCACUCUUCCUCUUCUCCUUUUUCCGCACUUCUCCACCCCUCCCACAUUUACAGCCAGAAUCAACAUUCCCUGGGCCCCUGAGGAAAUAAGCAGCUGGUCUGGAGGAGAGGACUGCAAUCCAUGGCGAAAAAACACUCACUUUGUCUCUGCAGCAAAGAGUUGCCCCUUCUUUCUACUGUUGUUUCUCUGUGGACUGGGCAAGGUGGGGUAUUUAUUCCUCACUAGCUGGGUUACCAUCUUCAGGCACUUUUAACAUCUGGCAUUCGGAAUGGAAAUGUAAUAAUGGACAUUAGGGAGCCCUGCCUUUUUCUACUGGUUCCCCCAAUGUUUGAAAGAGGCAUUAGGCUCCUGGUAGCCUUUUCUGUGCAUUGCUGUAUACACACAGACACACACAUGUAUGUUUGUUACCAAGAACUGGUCAGACCUUGCGAGUUUAUUUGUAAACACUGG
Molecule: long non-coding RNA, 804 nt
Filed under: Homo sapiens (human)
Lineage: Eukaryota; Metazoa; Chordata; Mammalia; Primates; Hominidae
Description: non-protein coding lnc-PHLPP2-2:1
Source: RNAcentral